GGACUACUGGGGUAUCUAAUCCUUAUUGUUACCCAAGCCUUCGUCCCUCAACGUCAGUUUUUAGUUAGAAGGUUGCUUUCGCUUUUAUCAGUCCCUAUGGUAUUACGAAAUUUCAUCUCUACUCCAUUAGUUCUUUCCUCCUUGAAUAAAACUCUAGUUAACUUAUACUUGCUUUUUAGUUAAGCUAACCGUCUAGGUACCCUUUAAACCUAAUAAAGAUGAAUAACACUAGUCUUCCUCGUAUUACCGCGGCUGCUGGCAC
RNAcentral lists this ribosomal RNA (262 nucleotides) under uncultured bacterium. RNAcentral describes it as "partial 16S ribosomal RNA". The record is from RNAcentral.